This 932-nucleotide long non-coding RNA is filed under the name Heterocephalus glaber (naked mole-rat). RNAcentral describes it as "lncRNA (ENSHGLG00100044200.1)". Lineage: Eukaryota; Metazoa; Chordata; Mammalia; Rodentia; Bathyergidae. The record is from RNAcentral.
GACUAUGACGUCACGCGUCCCCACGUCUAUAUUCAGCAAUGGGCGGGGCUCCAAGUGUCCACGCUCUGAGGAGAGUUGGCGACAGGUCCUAGGCCGUGAGUUAACACUGGGGAUUUGGACCCAGGACUUUGUCCUGUGUGACAGCCAAGCACUCUACUACUGAGCUACACUCCCUGCCCAACCUCAAGUACUUCGUUAAUGUCUUCAGAAGAUUGGCCUGCUUUGGAAUAUCAAAUACCUCCUCUUUGGAGGGGAAGGAAGAUGAAAGCAAUGACAUCCACACUCCCCCAGAGCAUCUCCCCAGCACAGCCUGAGCUCUUGCAAUGGGGUUUUGUCGGGAGAGCUCAUCACCUGGAGUGGUCAGGGAGGGCUCAGUCACUGUGCGGUCACUGGGGGAGAAGACCUCGUGGCUUCAGCCUAGCCUGCUGAGGAAGCUCUUGGAGUCAGGGUGUCAGAGGGCUGAGACCCCACAGGAAGUGCAGAGCCGGAUGGGAAGGAGAGGUGACCACAUCCUGCAUUUCUCUGUGGUUCCCCCAGGAACCAGUAACACAGCCUGGAGGCUCAGCAGAGGAAAACCAAGAAGCCAAAUGAAAACCACAAUGAAAUACUCCUUCAUAUCCGCCAGCAUUGCUAUCAUGAAAAGAAAGAUAAUAACAAGUGCUGGUGAAGAUGUGGGGAAAUAGGAGCCCUCAGGCACUGUUGGUGGAUAGCUGCUUUGCACAGUAAUCUAGCAUUCCCAAAAGGUUAAAUAGAGACUUGUCUUUCAACACAGCAAUUCCACUUUUAGGUGCAUACCCAAAAGAAAUGGAAAUUUUGGUCCACAUGAAAACCUGUCCCUUAAUGUUUGGAGCAGCAUUAGGCAUAAUGACCAAAAAAUGAAAAGUACCCAACAGUUCUGCUGUUAAGAUUGAGAAGUUUUUGUGGUGUCUGAA